AUGAAGAUGGCCACCCAUUUGUCCCAAGAACGUAUGCACUCAUUUAUGAUUUUGGCAUCAGGAUCAUUUCCCUCAACGAUGGUGAAUCUUUUAACAUUCCAGCAAUUCAGACAAAGAACAGUUGAAGAUAUCUCAGAAAGUUUGUUGACCUCUGGAUUAUAA
RNAcentral lists this long non-coding RNA (162 nucleotides) under Vulpes vulpes (red fox). RNAcentral's name for it is "lncRNA (ENSVVUG00000017029.1)". The record is from RNAcentral. Lineage: Eukaryota; Metazoa; Chordata; Mammalia; Carnivora; Canidae.